This 525-nucleotide ribosomal RNA is filed under the name Triticum aestivum (bread wheat). RNAcentral's name for it is "partial small subunit ribosomal RNA". The record is from RNAcentral. Lineage: Eukaryota; Viridiplantae; Streptophyta; Magnoliopsida; Poales; Poaceae.
UUCUCUUGCGUUUGGAAAUCCAAGGUUCCUCCUAAGAUUAAGAUUUUUCUCUGGCAAGCCUUCCGUGGUCGCCUCCCGACUGCUGAUCAGAUCAAAAAACGCAAUGGGCCGGGCUCGGAAUUCUGUAAUUUGUGUGGGGCCUUGGAAAACUCUGAUCACAUCUUUUUCAAUUGCGUUCUGGCCAAAUUAGUUUGGUGCUGCGUCAGAUCUUGGCUUCAGGUUCCCUGGAAUCCCUCCUCUUUCUCUGAGAUUCGAACCCUAGCCAAAGCCUUGGUCGGGGUCACCAAGAGGGUAUUUUGGGUUGGCCUGGGAGCUUUAUGUUGGGCUCUCUGGACCAUUAGAAACAAAUUUACUAUUGAACUUACCUUCCCAUCUAAGCCUACUGAUGUUCUUUUCAAAUCAUGUAUAUUCUUGCAGCAGGGGAGAUCAUUGACUAAGGAGACUGAUCGGGAUGCCCUGGACCUGCUCAUCGACAAAAUUCGGGCUUCGGCUUCUCAGAUCUCCGGGAGGAACCCUGUUGUCUAA